GUGAGUAGUUCAGAGUUUGAUCCUGGCUCAGGAUGAACGCUAGCUACAGGCUUAACACAUGCAAGUCGAGGGGCAGCAUGAAUUUACUUCGGUAGAUUUGAUGGCGACCGGCGCACGGGUGCGUAACGCGUAUCCAACCUUCCCGUUACUCCGGGAUAGCCUUCCGAAAGGGAGAUUAAUACCGGAUGGUGUUUGAAGUCCGCAUGAAAUUCAAACUAAAGAUUUAUCGGUAACGGAUGGGGAUGCGUACCAUUAGAUAGUAGGCGGGGUAACGGCCCACCUAGUCCACGAUGGUUAGGGGUUCUGAGAGGAAGGUCCCCCACACUGGAACUGAGACACGGUCCAG
Molecule: ribosomal RNA, 346 nt
Filed under: uncultured bacterium
Lineage: Bacteria
Description: bacterial SSU rRNA
Rfam family: Bacterial small subunit ribosomal RNA
Source: RNAcentral